This is a non-coding RNA of Oryzias latipes (Japanese medaka), 3007 nucleotides long. Lineage: Eukaryota; Metazoa; Chordata; Actinopteri; Beloniformes; Adrianichthyidae. The record is from RefSeq and is a predicted model, not a curated record.
AACUACAUGUGUGGUUGAGAAGCCUACAUUGCAUUAAUUUUCAGCGUCUUUAACAUGAAUGUUCUCUAUUGAGGCUAGUUCCAACAAAGUAAAGGUUAGUGACAUGUUAAGUAAUAGAAUAGAAUAGAAUAGAAUAGAAUAGAAUAGAAUAGAAUAGAAUAGAAUAGAACUUUAUUGGUCCCACAAAGGGGAAAUUACCCAACAGAUAACGACUCAGGUUUUUAAGUUACCAAGUUAAUGUGUCAUGAUAACUGUUAGCUCUGGAAAGAAAAAGAAUGAGAGAGAUCAAACAUGACUUUAGCAACAAUUUGCUCUUGUUGCUUAAACAGUUACAUGGGACUGCUGGUAAUGUGCUGUUUUUUCUUUUCUUGUUAUAAUACUUGGGUUGGUUGACAUUCAUUGUGUUCCAUUGUGUUUAUCUUUGAUCACCUAAGGAUUUAAUUGUGAGCAGUUAAAGGGUUUCAGGCCAGAGUCCAGAUCACCUGAUUUGCUGCUGGAUUUUUCCUGGAAACCAUGAAACGGUUUAAGAGACUUUUAUUGUCAUUUCCCAGUUGUAGAGUGUACAUAAGCAAAAAAGCAAAAACAAAAAGAAAACGCCCCCUGGGUGCAAAAAAAUAAUGAAAAUGUGUAUCCAAAUUAGGACUUUGCAUCUUAAUCAAUGUUUUAGCAUAGCUACAACAUAAAUAUUCAAAAGCUAAACUGAGGCAGGCAAAAGCAAAAUAAACAUAAAUACAUAGCAAACAAUGACAAACAAAGGGAGAGCCGUAGAGCUUAUACAACAUAGAGCAGCACAAAGAAGGCCUGACCACAAAACUUCGUUUAUGUUGGGAUUGUUGAUCCUAUAGACUUUAAGGAAUAAAAAGAUAAAACAGUGUUGCUCAAAAAAGUGCAUGCAGGAUAAAAUAUUUGUGCAAAUCUCACAAAUCUUGCUCCAGGAUUUUUCCUUACAGUUACACGAAAGGCUUUGUGUCAUAUAGUUAUGGACAGGCACAAACCACAAUUAUUAAUUUUUAGUCAUUGAUCAAUUUUCAAACGGUUGGGACUUUGGUGAAUUAAAAGGGACGCCAUCUACAGUAAACGCCACCAGAUCCGAGUCCUAAUUGGUCAAAGUUGGACCUGGUUUAACUUGCAAGGCAUGUUCAAUAGUCACACAUUUUGUACAUAGAGCCUGAAAACUGUCAUUGAAACCUGCAUAGCUACUCAUGAAAAGUAUGUCCAACACUCAUGAAAGCUACUCAGGGACUGCUUAAACGAGCGUUGCCAAGGACAGUGUAAAUGUAGAUUUAGAGCUCCAUUUUAAGCUCCAUUUUCUGCUUCCAUGUGCACCCCUCAGGACCUUGAAGCUGGACAUGCUCUUUACACACUCCCCUUUUAUGCAAAUAGGCUGCAGAUCUGUUUUCUUUCUCUUGAAAUCCACGAACAACUUUGUCAUGUCAUUUGUCAUGAAGGUGUUGAGGACUAUGUUCCCUGCACACCAUCCUACUAGUCUCUGGAUUCUUUCUCUGUAGGUCGUCUCUUCAUCUCCAGAGAUGAGACCAGAGAUGGUGGUGUCAUCUGCGAAUUUCACACAAGUCAGAGGUCUGUCAACAGGCCCAGGCUUGACUGCAGAGCGCCCUCAGCCCACUCUCCCAGAAGUGAAAAGUGCUGGAAGUCAGACUUCUAAUCAUAACAUCCGCGCAAGAGGCAGGCGAUAAAAUAAAUGUCAUUCUUGUCAAACACGAAUGCCACUGAAGCAAAAGUAAGCAGAAGUUCUCUGUCUUCCAUUUUCUCAUUAUCUUUAUUAUUAUUACCACAGCAGGCGGUCAAGGUUCACUGACAGAGCACACUUAACCGUGUUUCCUGUCACAUACACACUUAACCAACACACACACACACGUAUAUAUCUCCUGUCUCUGCUAACACCAGCCCUGGUCUGUGUGCUCUGCUAAUAUUGACUCCUGACUAACACAGCCUCUAUUGAGUCAAACACAAAACUGUUUGACUAGAAUUAGAACAUCAUUGAGAUAACAGCCUUGGACCUGUGCAGGCUGGAGCUGUGGUGUUAAUGUAAAGCAGACCAGGAGCACCAAUGAGGGCGGUGAGGGUAAGGAGGUGGAUUUCACAAUCUGGUCUCUAAACAAAUGUUUUCUCACUCUUAGACUUAGACUUUUAUCACCCGUACACAACAGCAGCCACUUGCGAAACGUCUUUUUGUGAAUUUGCACACACAGCGUGUGGGCCGUCCUCUGUUUAUGAGUGUGUCACCUCUGUCAUGAAGCCCAUUGAGUGGCCAUGGUUGUACAAAUGUUUUGUCUGUGAGGUCACUGCGUGGUUUGUGUCUGUGACAAAAAAAACACCAAAAAACAAAAUUCUGUCAAACUGCAGAAACACAAGCUUUCUUUGUUUGCUGAAGCAUGCUUAUAAUCUGAAUGUGGGCAUUAAGUGCUUACCAUCAGUUACACAUUGAAGUCAUAAUGUUAACGCAACCGUAAAACACACAAAGAUAAUAAAAAAAAAAACAUCUUUAAACUUUUCAACACUCAUUCCUGUCCUUUAUCUCUCACGUACCCAUUUCACUAUCUGGGUCUGCGAUCUCUGCAUAUUUGUUUUAACUAAGAUCUAUAUUUAUACUUUCUGUGAGUGCUUGAAUUCUUACUCAAUGUAGUGUGUCGCGUUUUACUCAAUUUAUUUUCUUUGUUUUAGCUUGAUAUCCUACAAUCUCCUGGAAACAAGAGAGUUAACAUUCACUAGUCACUCCUAGAAAACAACUUUAUCUUCAUUGUCUUUAUUGUCCAAAAACUUGUAAAACACAUUGGAUAUAGAUGUGACAUAAUAUUAUACUAAGAGGUGUACUGAUAGAUGCUAAUGUGUGUGUUUGUGUGUUGAGAACACAUGAAAUGUGAAAUGUAUAGUACACCUUGAAAGUCCCUCUCCGAUGAAAAUCAUCUUUUCUGUGUUUUUAACUUGUUCCUGUGGCAUCUGUUUUAUGAUGUAGGACAUAUGUAAAGAAAAUCUGUUUAAAAUUGCA